AUUUCUUUGUACAAUCGGAUGAGGAUUGAGAGCAAAACAACACAUUGAUAUUUUAAACGCAAGGAAUUCCACUCUAUUGCCAGAAAUGGGCUGGUUUUCCCUUUGUUGUGCAAAAUGACGGUGUCCUUGAGGAAUGUUUGGAGGCUCUUAGCAAUGAGGAAUCAUCCAGAAGCAUAACUGGUGUCAGCUCAGUUGUGUUGUCAACAU
RNAcentral lists this long non-coding RNA (207 nucleotides) under Ursus maritimus (polar bear). RNAcentral describes it as "lncRNA (ENSUMAG00000019001.1)". Lineage: Eukaryota; Metazoa; Chordata; Mammalia; Carnivora; Ursidae. The record is from RNAcentral.